Molecule: long non-coding RNA, 1110 nt
Organism: Schistocerca cancellata (South American locust)
Lineage: Eukaryota; Metazoa; Arthropoda; Insecta; Orthoptera; Acrididae
Exons: 3
Source: RefSeq, a predicted model, not a curated record
GAUUAUCAUGGAAAUGGAUCAACAUAUCCUACAUAUCACAAAAGUUAAAUGUUGUUAUGGAACGUAAUACUAUUUACUGUCUGUUCAAUAUUGCAUAGUAACAGUGAAUAUGCACAACAAUCAUUUUGAAAAAAAAAAUAUGAUUUUAGACAGAUUUUAACAGUGCACCACCACUAUAGCAAAUACUCAAAAAUUCACUGACAGCAGCUGAUAUUAACAUACCAGCAACCAGAAACUGAACAGAUCUGCAUUAAAGAAGAAAAUGUUGUGUGACAAAAAGAUCCUGUGACAGGCUGAAAACCUGUCACGAAAAUAUGAAAAGAAGACUUCAGAAAGAUCUUGCAGAAGAAGAGGUGGAAGUGUAUAAAACAGGUUGGGGGGAAGCCUACCCAAAAAACCAACAAAUGCAUAUGAUUCUGAUGCACAGUUUAGUAUGACUGUGGAUGUUGUUAACAUAGAGCGCAGUGCUGUGCAGUGAGAACACGCCAUCUGCUUCAGUUGUCGAGUUAGCAGAGUGCACACAACCUAGCACUUCCCACACACCUGACGUAAUACAAAGUAAAGAGACAUCAAAGAAUGUUCUGGUGGCUGUCACCCAGCUGCAGACUGUUUCGCAGUCUCCUGAUCCACCCAAAGAAAACAUUUUCACACCGAAAAAUACAUGGCAUCAUAGCAGGAUGCCUGCAAAACCGGGGCCAUCAGGUUCGGGAACAGUAAUUGAAAAUGUGUGCAAGAAGAGAGUGGAACUACUGGAGGCCCAAUUACACAUAAUGAAGCCUGAACAUAAGAAGGAGCUAAUGAUUAAAAAUUUAAAGAUUCUGGCCAUAAAAGAAAAACUAAAAUACUGGAAGAAGAAAAAUGCCAGUAACAUGAUUUUUUUUCCUAUGACAGUGAAUUUUUGUAAUUUUUUCUGCUGUUUUGUAUUCUAGCUAAUGUAUCAAAAUUGUCUCACAGGUGAAACUGUUUCUGUCUUUGUCCCAUUAGUGAUGACUACUACUAUCCUAAUUGUUGUCUGUCUAAUAUCUGCUUAUAGCUUACUUGGUCUGUACUAAGUUUAAUCUAAUCACUUGAAAUUAGAAUUGCUUCAUAAAUAAAAACAGGUUAGCGACA